AAUUUAUAUCAAAAAAAUUUAUAAGGAGAAGGCAAGGGAGAAACAACAUUGCCUUCAAGAUUUCAACAAGUGCUCUUCAUCUUGAAAAAAAUAAAAAAAAUAGCAAUUAGGAAAAAAAUCAUGAGGCUCGCUAAAAAAGUGAAAGAGCUCAAGAGCAAAAGUGACAAUCAUGAGAGACCCGUCUCUUUAAGAAAGAGUGUUAAGGAGGAUCCAAAGUCUUAUGGGAUGAUGAUUCUCAACCCGAAAAUGCUUCAUGGAAUUUUAAGAGGAACCAACACUUGAGGCAAUCAGUUGAUGUGCAGCGGGAGAAUUUGAUUUCAUCGACAAAUUAUAUGAAGCUGGUUAGACAGCUCAAUAUUUUAGCUGAUUACAUGGUUAGUUUACUUAUUGAUGUUGUUACAGCUAGUUGGGAUCAAGGUAAACUCUCUCAGGUGUUCUCCUCGCAAGAAAUUGAAGAUAUUUUGAAAAGUCCGAUCAGUAAUAGACCCUCUCUAGAUAAGUUAUUUUGGCCGUUGAGCAAGAACAAUUUUUUUAGUAACAUUUGGGUAUUAUCAAGCUUGCAAUAUUAUAGAGAGUGGCCCUGCAAGCAAUAAGAUAUGUUACAAAAUUUGAACAUACCUAGUUCAACCCAAAGUUCAGGACUUUCUUAUAAAGAUCGGCUAAUGAUGGGUAAGAUCGGCUCAUGCAUGUGACGCCGGUGGUGAUGAGGGUUGCUGCUUUAUCGUCAGACUGGCGACGAAUUUUGAACCAGAAUAUUUGCUAUAUGCAUUUUGAAUCUGUGAUUAUAGAGAGAAUAAUUAUUCUUGUUUUUUCAUUUUUAGUUUUUUUUCUAAUCUCUGCUUUAAAUUUAUUAUUAAAUUUGUAUGUUUUUGAAUCGGUGAACAGACCGAGCCAAACCAGAAAAAUCCGACAUUUUUGAUUUACCGAAUCGAAAAAACCGUAGACAAAAUUAUAAAUUUUGGAUUUUAAUUUUAUAGGGGUGAUUUGGUUUGGUUUGAUUUUGGGAAUUUGCACACCGAACCGGACUAUGCUCACCCAUGUAGAAGGAUCGACCCGAAUAAAAUAGUCUUCAACAACUCCAGAAUGGCGUUUCCUUUUAUGUUUAGUUGCAUUCCAUCCAUGAUCUCCAAGGUUGUUGUUGCUCAAAGUCGGCAUCCCCAUCAGGUGGUUGUAGCGUUUUGGUAGUCUCCUCCCCAACCUUCCAUCUAAAAUCAAUGUCGACGAAGUAGUUUCUAUUGAUAACAAAUAUCUAUUAAAAGCACUGUUUGCAGAGACUCGUCUUGUUUAGUGCUUCAGUGUGGAGUUUGUGUGUUGAAUGGUGUGAUAUAUACUGGAAUUGCCGAAGCUAUGGUUGUCAGGUGUGGUUUACUACUAUCUGCUCUUAUCAGCUGCUCGUCUAUAGUUGUGGAAUAUGAUGCAAAGGACAUUGUUCGUCAUAUUAUUGUUGACAGUUGUUUAGCCCUAGCUAGAGCUAGAGCUGCAGUUUUAAUCAAGUUGCCCAUGCAAUUUCUAAGUGGGGUAUUUUCUUCAGUAGAUACUGCAUUUUUUAUGGUAAAAAUUCUCUUUCAAUUAAUGAACUUAUUAAUUCAGUUCUUUAAUUAGUAUAAUGCAAUUUCACUUCCAAAAGAGCUACAAAUUGUCCAAUAAAAUGUUAUCACUUUAGCUCCAAUUUAUUUAUAUAAUGUUCCAGCCACUCCAAAAAUAGCACAAAAAGAGAGAUUAAUAUUAUUGACCUAGUGAUAAACCACUAACACCUUCCUUUCUCGUUUGGGCUCAACGCACUUGGAAAACGCUCUAGCAACGGAAAACCGACUGCUAUAGUAAGGUAUCGAGAGAGCUUCUUUCUGCUUCUUAUUUCAUAUGGAUAUAACCAAGUGU
Molecule: long non-coding RNA, 1878 nt
Organism: Mercurialis annua (annual mercury)
Lineage: Eukaryota; Viridiplantae; Streptophyta; Magnoliopsida; Malpighiales; Euphorbiaceae
Exons: 4
Source: RefSeq, a predicted model, not a curated record